Homo sapiens (human) is the source of this 1704-nucleotide long non-coding RNA. Ensembl annotates it as ST3GAL1 divergent transcript. Its record names the gene ST3GAL1-DT. The record is from Ensembl. Lineage: Eukaryota; Metazoa; Chordata; Mammalia; Primates; Hominidae.
AACUUGGCUCGGCUUUCCCUUGGCUCCGGGCUUCCUGCAAGCCGAAUUUAGCUCUGCCAAGCCACGUGGACCGCAGCGGGCUCGGCAGAGGCCGAGCCUGGGAGACGCCGGAGGCGGCGGCUGCGGCGCGGGGACCUGAUCGGCGCCCCGAGAGGAGCUCCCCGCUCUCUGGACGCGGCCCUCAAGCUGGCGGGGCUAAGGAAGAGCGCCCGGGAGGCCCGGGAGCCACUGGGGUCCGUUUCAGCAGGAAGACGGGCACGCACCGAGAGGAUGGCAGUGCCCAGAAGAACUCGAGUCGGGGGCACGGUGGGGAGAAGGGGCCGAUCCCCUGCUGGCGACCGGGCAGAGCCACCCACUUCCUCUAAGGGCGCGGGACUCGAGGUGGGAUUUAGGGAGGGGGAAGGGAGGAGCGUGGGCUGGACGACUCUUGCGGCCAGAACCGCGUUCAGAGCCACAGAGCCGGGCACUGCGGCCGGCCCUGGUCCCGGCCCCGGCCCUGGCCCAGCCCUUGCCCUGGCUCGCCUGCCGCCGCUUUUUCCUUCCAGAUGCGGAGGCUGCGGCUGGAGCUUGGGGUUUGCGGAUUAGGCUUGCAGUUAUUCAGCCCUCCCUCUUUUACAGGGAAGCGGGGGCGGUGGAGACUUCUUUUGCUGAAAGGCAGAGUGCAGCGCUUUGAUGCUAAAUGCAGUACACAAGUCAUGUAAAUCUGGUUUUACGGUUCUUAACCCCUUACUGAGACUACCUCUUUCGCAACUUUUCGGAGGAAUGUUAGAGGAAAGAGGCACAGUUUGCCUUUGGGGUCAUUGCAUCCUUCCAGCGCCCCUUGCUCCAGCUGGAGAGAGAUCAACCUUUUGCAGUGGAAGGGGAGAGUCCCCCAGCCUUUGUUUCAUCAGACGGCUGCUGUAGUACAGGGAUUCAGGCCAGGGCCCGCAUGGCCGGACUUCUUGGUUCAAAUCCUGCACUGCCACUCAACGGAUGUGUGAGCUUGGGCUAGUGACUGAACCUCCCAGCCUAGGUGACUCUGUGCCUCGGUGUCCUCAUCUGUGAGAACCGACCUAAGAAGUGUCUGUCUGAUAAAGCUGUUGUGAUGAGUUAGUGAAUUCGUACACAUAGAACCUUUAGAACUGUCUUUGACAUGUAGUAAGUCAGCUGUGUAGAUGGUGGGUUUCUCCAGUGUCAGGUCCCUGCCCACAGCAGGAAGAUGACCUGUGCUAGAAGAUGGGGGCUAGGGUGUUGGGGAAGACUUCAGGGACUUGGGAGAGAAAAGGAGAAAUAUUCAGAGAUGAGAAAAGUAGAAGAAAAACCAGCUUUUAAAAGGGGGAGGAGAGAGAAUGAGAAAAAUAACUACUAGAAAGGGAAGGAAAAGAUGAAUAGCCUUUUAGGUACUUCGGGACCUGCUCUGAGACCUCUUGCCUGACGCCCUUGGUUUUUGAUAGAAUUCUAGAGAAGGGGUGAGCCCUUUUGUCUGCCUGGACACAUCCUGUGGGCUUUCCUCUUUCUGAAACUCAGGUCAAGGUGUUCACUGCAUCUCCAGAUUGCUUGUGUGCAUGGGAGGAGGGGGGCAGAGAGUUCUGCUUACAUCGGCUACUGUCCCCUCCACCAGCAGCGUCUUCCAGCAAAGAAGAGCUUCUAACAUGCACCAGACUUUUAGCUUUGGCUGGGAAUAUCGUCUGGGCCAAUAAAGAGUUUUUGGAUGAAAUAACAAAA